UACGUAGGGUGCAAGCGUUAAUCGGAAUUACUGGGCGUAAAGCGUGCGCAGGCGGCUUUGCAAGACAGAUGUGAAAUCCCCGGGCUUAACCUGGGAACUGCAUUUGUGACUGCAAGGCUAGAGUACGGUAGAGGGGGAUGGAAUUCCGCGUGUAGCAGUGAAAUGCGUAGAUAUCGGAGGAACACCAGUGGCGAAGGCGACUACCUGGCCUGUUCUUGACGCUGAGGCGCGAAAGCGUGGGGAGCAAACAGG
Molecule: ribosomal RNA, 252 nt
Filed under: uncultured bacterium
Lineage: Bacteria
Description: partial 16S ribosomal RNA
Rfam family: Bacterial small subunit ribosomal RNA
Source: RNAcentral